RNAcentral lists this ribosomal RNA (419 nucleotides) under uncultured bacterium. RNAcentral's name for it is "partial 16S ribosomal RNA". It matches the Rfam family "Bacterial small subunit ribosomal RNA", at positions 361 to 772 of the family's 1533-position model. The record is from RNAcentral.
AUAUUGGACAACGGGGGCAACCCGGAUCCAGCCAUGCCGCGUGUGUGAAGAAGGUCUUCGGAUUGUAAAUCACUUUAAGUUGGGAGGAAGGGCUUUAGGUAAAUACCCCGAAGUUCUGACGUCACCAACAGUAUAAGCACCCGAGCACUCUGUGACAGCAGCCGCGGUAAGACAGACGAUGCAAGCGUUAAUCGGAAUUACUGUGCGUAGAGCGCGCGUAGGUGGUUCAGUAAGAUGGGUGUGAAAUCCCCGGGCUUAACCUGGGAACUGCUUUCAUAACUGCUGAGCUAGAGUACGGUAGAAGGUAGAGGAAUUUCCUGUGUAGCGGUGAAAUGCAUAGAUAUAGGAAGGAACACCAGUGGCGAAGGCGACUACCUGGACUGAUACUGACACUGAGGUGCGAAAGCGUGGGGAGCAAA